This 406-nucleotide ribosomal RNA is filed under the name uncultured bacterium. Its description in RNAcentral is "partial 16S ribosomal RNA". It matches the Rfam family "Bacterial small subunit ribosomal RNA", at positions 29 to 526 of the family's 1533-position model. The record is from RNAcentral.
AUUGAACGCUGGCGGCAGGCCUAACACAUGCAAGUCGAACGAGUGGCGGACGGGUGAGUAAUGUCUGGGAAACUGCCCGCUGGAGGGGGAUAACUACUGGAAACGGUAGCUAAUACCGCAUACCAUCGGAUGUGCCCAGAGUGGAUGAGCUAGUAGGAGGGGGACCGGCUCACCUCGGCGACGCGCCCUAGCUGGUCUGAGAGGAUGACCAGCCACACUGGAACUGAGAAACGGUCCAGACUCCUACGGGAGGCAGCAGUGGGGAAUAUUGCACAAUGGGCGAAAGCCUGAGGCAGCCAUGCCGGGUGUAUGAAGAAGGCCUUCGGGUGAUAAAGUACUUUCAGCGAGGAGGCGUUACUCGCAGAAGAAGCACCGGCUAACUCCGUGCCAGCAGCCGCGGUAAUAC